CUUGGUCGUCUUUGAUGAGAAGUCAAGGC
This 29-nucleotide non-coding RNA is filed under the name Rattus norvegicus (Norway rat). Lineage: Eukaryota; Metazoa; Chordata; Mammalia; Rodentia; Muridae. The record is from RNAcentral.